AACGAACGCUGGCGGCAUGCCUAACACAUGCAAGUCGAACGAAACCUUCGGGUCUAGUGGCGCACGGGUGCGUAACGCGUGGGAACCUGCCCUUAGGUUCGGAAUAACUCCCCGAAAGGGGUGCUAAUACCGGAUAAUGUCUUCGGACCAAAGAUUUAUCGCCUUUGGAUGGGCCCGCGUUGGAUUAGCUGGUUGGUAGGGUAAAAGCCUACCAAGGCGACGAUCCAUAGCUGGUCAGAGAGGAUGAUCAGCCACACUGGGACUGAGACACGGCCCAGACUCCUACGGGAGGCAGCAGUGGGGAAUAUUGGACAAUGGGCGAAAGCCUGAUCCAGCAAUGCCGCGUGAGUGAUGAAGGCCUUAGGGUUGUAAAGCUCUUUUACCCGGGAUGAUAAUGACAGUACCGGGAGAAUAAGCUCCGGCUAACUCCGUG
RNAcentral lists this ribosomal RNA (433 nucleotides) under uncultured bacterium. RNAcentral describes it as "partial 16S ribosomal RNA". It matches the Rfam family "Bacterial small subunit ribosomal RNA", at positions 29 to 507 of the family's 1533-position model. The record is from RNAcentral.